Molecule: unclassified non-coding RNA, 589 nt
Filed under: Alticola albicauda (white-tailed mountain vole)
Lineage: Eukaryota; Metazoa; Chordata; Mammalia; Rodentia; Cricetidae
Description: partial external transcribed spacer 2
Source: RNAcentral
AGUCCCUGGNUCUGGGGAUAGCUGAACUGAAGCCACGGCCUUGUUGAUGCACGGGCCUGGUGUCCUUUGGGCAGUGCCCUCCCUCCAUGGACAUUGUCUGUUGGAGGCUGGUUACCUUCAGCAAGUUCUGGAGGGAGUUCCCCUUUGUCCCAAGUUGGACAGGGCACAUAGCAGCCAGGCAGCCUUCAGGGCUGGCCCUGGGGCCCUCUGCGGGAGACAGCUUUGGUAGGCAUGAUGCCAGCGAUAUAAGUAAUGUAAUCUGUUGCCCUCUCCGCGUCUAGGGGAAUAAGCAUGUGUCUCAUGGGCCAGGAUAGGCGCAUCAGCUGUCACAUGACUCGAAGUGUGUCUCASUUGGCAGAGUGGCUGCCUAGCUUGNUNACAGCCGCGNCUUCCAUCCCCAGCCCACAAAAACCAGGUGUGAUGGCGCAUGCCUGUCUGUAGUCAGAGCGUGGAAGUGGAGGCUGGAGGAUGAGUGGCCAGUCUGGGAUACACGAGCCUCUGGCGUUUUAAAAGGGGGUGGGGGUGGGAAUAAGAAUUAUGACUGACAGCUUNUGUCUCUGUGUGAGGGACCCCUGGUUCCAAAUGGCUG